GAGAAGACGUCUAUUUGAGGAAGUCUUACAGGAUGUGAUCAAUGCUUCUGAAUGCAUACUAAUUCCUUGUUCCUCUAGACACCCAUAUGGAGAUGUGGCCAUGUUUACCAGACAUGUGGUUAUACCAAGUCUUCUUCUCUUUACAAGGCUAUGUUUUAUCAGUGGGUGGCAAGCAGAUGAGAGAUAGAGAAGAUUCUGGUUUCAAAGCAAAUAAACACCAACCUGGAUGAUGGAAUGUCCACAGGCAAAACAAAGCAGGAAAAAAUCCAUAUAUCCUGCUUGGCCAAAUGGAUAUCCUGAGGAGGGUUAUUUCAAGAGAGGAGGUGUCAUCAGGACCAGGGGCUGAUGGGAGUUGCCUGAGGCACACGGGAGAGUGUGGAAGAACUGGAAAAACUUGGGUGUUGCUGAAGGUGACCUUGAGCUUGGACAAGUGAGGUAACUGACUUGAAAGCAGAGGAAUAGUAACUUGACCACUACUCAGUACUACAUCAUGGAGAAUCUGUGGCUGAAUAAUUUUCCAGGCAAUAAUUUUAAGUUACCAAAAAUGUGUUAUUAAAAUAAUAGCCAAAUCUCAAGUUUGUUGGUUGUUAGUUGACCUCACCAUCCAACAUUUCAUCACUGCAAGAAGAGGGCAGAAAGUUUUCCAGACAUUACACCAUAAAGGCUUAGAAGGUAUUACUAUUAUUUUCUAUAUCAACUUUUAAAUCAUAAAACUAAACUCAUUUCCACUUGGUAAGGUAGAGGCUGACCAGACUGUGAGUGUUUGAGUGUCUGAACUUUAGUAUCAUUUGAAUACAUGCCCACUCUACUCAUUACACUCGCUACCUAAGA
Molecule: long non-coding RNA, 831 nt
Organism: Acinonyx jubatus (cheetah)
Lineage: Eukaryota; Metazoa; Chordata; Mammalia; Carnivora; Felidae
Exons: 3
Source: RefSeq, a predicted model, not a curated record